This 107-nucleotide small nucleolar RNA is filed under the name Oryza sativa Indica Group (long-grained rice). RNAcentral's name for it is "Plant small nucleolar RNA R71". It matches the Rfam family "Plant small nucleolar RNA R71". Rfam says of the family: R71 is a member of the C/D box family of snoRNAs containing the C (UGAUGA) and D (CUGA) box motifs. Multiple nearly identical copies of this snoRNA have been identified in Arabidopsis, and it is thought to function as a 2'-O-ribose methylation guide for 18S ribosomal RNA. Lineage: Eukaryota; Viridiplantae; Streptophyta; Magnoliopsida; Poales; Poaceae. The record is from Rfam by way of RNAcentral.
AUACCAUAGUGAGGACAAGCAGAAAUAUAGUCUUGGAGGCGUUCCCAUGCCUCGAGGACUGUUUCAUCUUUUAACUGUUGGAAGCUAGCAAUUUAUGUCCGGAGAGC